UAGUCCACGCCGUAAACGAUGAGAACUAGAUUUUGGUGGUAUUGACCCCUUCAGAAUCGCAGCUAACGCAUUAAGUUCUCCGCCUGGGGAGUACGGCCGCAAGACUAAAACUCAAAGGAAUUGACGGGGGCCCGCACAAGCGGUGGAUUAUGUGGUUUAAUUCGAAGCAACGCGCAAAACCUUACCUAGGCUUGAACUCCUGAGAAGUCGGAGUAAUGUCUGAUGUGUCCUUCGGGAAACUCAGUGAGAGGUGCUGCAUGGCUGUCGUCAGCUCGUGUUGUGAAAUGUUGGGUUAAGUCUCGCAACGAGCGCAACCCCUAUCGUUAGUUGCCAGCAUUAAGUUGGGGACUCUAACGAGACUGCCUACGCAAGUAGUGAGGAAGGCGGGGACGACGUCAAAUCAUCAUGGCCUUUAUGCCUAGGGCGACACACGUGCUACAAUGGUAGGUACAGAGGGUAGCGAAGCGGCGACGUGGAGCCAAUCCCAGAAAGCCUAUCCCAGUUCGGAUUGG
This 512-nucleotide ribosomal RNA is filed under the name uncultured bacterium. RNAcentral's name for it is "bacterial SSU rRNA". It matches the Rfam family "Bacterial small subunit ribosomal RNA", at positions 791 to 1301 of the family's 1533-position model. The record is from RNAcentral.